RNAcentral lists this ribosomal RNA (2058 nucleotides) under Klebsiella pneumoniae. Its description in RNAcentral is "partial 23S ribosomal RNA". It matches the Rfam family "Bacterial large subunit ribosomal RNA", at positions 890 to 2925 of the family's 2925-position model. The record is from RNAcentral. Lineage: Bacteria; Pseudomonadati; Pseudomonadota; Gammaproteobacteria; Enterobacterales; Enterobacteriaceae.
UCAUCUUCGGGGGUAGAGCACUGUUUCGGCUAGGGGGUCAUCCCGACUUACCAACCCGAUGCAAACUACGAAUACCGAAGAAUGUUAUCACGGGAGACACACGGCGGGUGCUAACGUCCGUCGUGAAGAGGGAAACAACCCAGACCGCCAGCUAAGGUCCCAAAGUCAUGGUUAAGUGGGAAACGAUGUGGGAAGGCACAGACAGCCAGGAUGUUGGCUUAGAAGCAGCCAUCAUUUAAAGAAAGCGUAAUAGCUCACUGGUCGAGUCGGCCUGCGCGGAAGAUGUAACGGGGCUAAACCAUGCACCGAAGCUGCGGCAGCGACACUAUGUGUUGUUGGGUAGGGGAGCGUUCUGUAAGCCUGCGAAGGUGACCUGUGAGGGUUGCUGGAGGUAUCAGAAGUGCGAAUGCUGACAUAAGUAACGAUAAAGCGGGUGAAAAGCCCGCUCGCCGGAAGACCAAGGGUUCCUGUCCAACGUUAAUCGGGGCAGGGUGAGUCGACCCCUAAGGCGAGGCCGAAAGGCGUAGUCGAUGGGAAACAGGUUAAUAUUCCUGUACUUGGUGUUACUGCGAAGGGGGGACGGAGAAGGCUAUGUUAGCCGGGCGACGGUUGUCCCGGUUUAAGCAUGUAGGCUGGUUGUCCAGGCAAAUCCGGAUAAUCAAGGCUGAGGUGUGAUGACGAGGCACUACGGUGCUGAAGUAACAAAUGCCCUGCUUCCAGGAAAAGCCUCUAAGCAUCAGGUAACAUCAAAUCGUACCCCAAACCGACACAGGUGGUCAGGUAGAGAAUACCAAGGCGCUUGAGAGAACUCGGGUGAAGGAACUAGGCAAAAUGGUGCCGUAACUUCGGGAGAAGGCACGCUGGUGUGUAGGUGAAGCCCCUGCGGGUGGAGCUGAGACCAGUCGAAGAUACCAGCUGGCUGCAACUGUUUAUUAAAAACACAGCACUGUGCAAACACGAAAGUGGACGUAUACGGUGUGACGCCUGCCCGGUGCCGGAAGGUUAAUUGAUGGGGUUAUCCGUAAGGAGAAGCUCUUGAUCGAAGCCCCGGUAAACGGCGGCCGUAACUAUAACGGUCCUAAGGUAGCGAAAUUCCUUGUCGGGUAAGUUCCGACCUGCACGAAUGGCGUAAUGAUGGCCAGGCUGUCUCCACCCGAGACUCAGUGAAAUUGAACUCGCUGUGAAGAUGCAGUGUACCCGCGGCAAGACGGAAAGACCCCGUGAACCUUUACUAUAGCUUGACACUGAACAUUGAGCCUUGAUGUGUAGGAUAGGUGGGAGGCUUUGAAGCGUGGACGCCAGUCUGCGUGGAGCCAACCUUGAAAUACCACCCUUUAAUGUUUGAUGUUCUAACGUUGGCCCCUUAUCGGGGUUGCGGACAGUGUCUGGUGGGUAGUUUGACUGGGGCGGUCUCCUCCCAAAGCGUAACGGAGGAGCACGAAGGUUAGCUAAUCCUGGUCGGACAUCAGGAGGUUAGUGCAAUGGCAUAAGCUAGCUUGACUGCGAGCGUGACGGCGCGAGCAGGUGCGAAAGCAGGUCAUAGUGAUCCGGUGGUUCUGAAUGGAAGGGCCAUCGCUCAACGGAUAAAAGGUACUCCGGGGAUAACAGGCUGAUACCGCCCAAGAGUUCAUAUCGACGGCGGUGUUUGGCACCUCGAUGUCGGCUCAUCACAUCCUGGGGCUGAAGUAGGUCCCAAGGGUAUGGCUGUUCGCCAUUUAAAGUGGUACGCGAGCUGGGUUUAGAACGUCGUGAGACAGUUCGGUCCCUAUCUGCCGUGGGCGCUGGAGAAUUGAGGGGGGCUGCUCCUAGUACGAGAGGACCGGAGUGGACGCAUCACUGGUGUUCGGGUUGUCAUGCCAAUGGCACUGCCCGGUAGCUAAAUGCGGAAGAGAUAAGUGCUGAAAGCAUCUAAGCACGAAACUUGCCCCGAGAUGAGUUCUCCCUGAGACUUUAAGUCUCCUGAAGGAACGUUAAAGACGAUGACGUUGAUAGGCCGGGUGUGUAAGCGCAGCGAUGCGUUGAGCUAACCGGUACUAAUGAACCGUGAGGCUUAACCUU